CCUACGGGUGGCAGCAGUGAGGAAUAUUGGUCAAUGGGCGGGAGCCUGAACCAGCCAAGCCGCGUGAGGGAAGAAGGUACAGCGUAUCGUAAACCUCUUUUGUCAGGGAACAAAGGCGGGGACUAGUCCCCGGAUUGGGGUACCUGAAGAAAAAGCAUCGGCUAACUCCGGUCCAGCAGCCGCGGUAAUACGGAGGAUGCGAGCGUUAUACGGAUUUAUUGGGUUUUAAGGGUGCGCAGGCGGCCUGUUAAGGCAGCGGUAAAAGGCCGGGGCUCAACCCCGGCGAGCCGUUGAAACUGGCGGGCUGGAGUUGGAGAGAAGUACGCGGAAUGCGCGGUGUAGCGGUGAAAUGCUUAGAUAUCGCGCAGAACCCCGAUUGCGAAGGCAGCGUACCGGCUCCACACUGACGCUGAGGCACGAAAGCGUGGGGAUCGAACAGGAUUAGAUACCCCUGUAGUC
RNAcentral lists this ribosomal RNA (459 nucleotides) under uncultured bacterium. RNAcentral's name for it is "partial 16S ribosomal RNA". It matches the Rfam family "Bacterial small subunit ribosomal RNA", at positions 338 to 795 of the family's 1533-position model. The record is from RNAcentral.